RNAcentral lists this long non-coding RNA (3773 nucleotides) under Salvia miltiorrhiza (redroot sage). RNAcentral's name for it is "long non-coding RNA (SMIL_LNC005710)". The record is from RNAcentral. Lineage: Eukaryota; Viridiplantae; Streptophyta; Magnoliopsida; Lamiales; Lamiaceae.
CGUUGCUAUCAAGCCGUGCUGGUCGAGAUCCUCCCGCUUGGGCGUCUCAAGAUGGUGGGUAAAGGAUCGGAUGCAUGUACAACUGAAAAGCCAACGUGCCUAGCUUGGGCAAUAGAGGAACUCUCGGAUAGGGAUCAAAUGGUAUAUGCUGAAUCUGAGGCUCGGUAGAUACGAUAGGUGGUGCUGACUCUGGGGGUGGCAGUGGCAAAGGUGCUGUCACAGGGGUCAAAUCUCACGGCGGUAGAUCCGCACUGGGAAAUGGAAUAAGUGACAGAAACGAGAAUGGAUCAUGCUCCACCACUGGUGAGUAUGUCUCGAAAGCAGCUGGAUCCGAUAUAACAAGCUCAGAUGAAAUCGGUGUAGGAUCAGCUGGGGGUGGGGUGGGGGUGCAAUCGGAUAAGGCUCAUCUGGAAGUGGGGGUGCAUCAACUCCUCUUCCCUGAGCAGGUCCAUCUGGUACUCCACACGGUUGUGAAGGUGGCUCGCCAAAAGCAAAGUACUGGUGACUAAGCGUCGCUAUGAAACCACGGAAAUCUGCGAGCACAAAAUGACCAAAAUCGAUCCUCAAGAUGUACUGUGGCACUAGUGAAGCCACUCGGUCCUGCCACUCAGGACGUAGCUGUGGAAUCAGAUGCGUGAUAGCCUAUGCCUUAUCAAUCCCGUGUGAACUAGCCUCUAACCAGCGUCUGUGGUUGAGUGCUAAAAACUCUCCAAGCGUGUCUCGCUCUCAUGGUCCAGUGUCUCUGAACCAUCGACGCAUCGCCUCUCCUAAACGUCGUUGCAUCCUGUAAUAGAGAACAUCAUGUCUAUCAAAAAGUGGAUAUAGAACUUACUUUCAAUCAACAAUAUACUCAUCCUCGUUUGAUACGGUGGUGCAACGGCUAUACUAGCCUCAACAUUUCUCCUCAUAAUUCACAACCAGUGGCUCAUAUCAUAUUCCAUCACCUCAGACAGUUCCGCCAUCAAAACAAUACAUAACUCAGUAGUGAAUCAAACUCAACACUCAUCAUGAAAGCAAUAAAGAAAAAUCAACAACAAACUCUUACCUCGAUAAGCCAGGGGAAAUGGAGCGUUGGGGUUUUGUUUCGAACUGACUCUCAAACUAGCCUAAGAAUUCAAGUUUAGACUAGUACUCAAUUUAAAGAUAGAUGCAACCUAAGGUUCAACUUAAUCAAGAAAUAGACUCAGAGCAGAUAACCUGCUCUGAUACCACUCUGUCGCAGCCCGACGUCUAGCCAGUGAUAGCGUAGAGCGAGUAUCGAUAAGACUAAAUAAAAGAAAAGAAUAGAGGCAGGGAAAUACUAAACUCAACAUCAAGCGGAAGCAAAUAACAAGUCAUGCAAACUCGAGCAACAUAAUAACACUUCAAGGCGUAAUCGACAAAAGCUUUAUAACAGCAAAAGUAUCGGGAUUCUCGUCAACAUUUACAAAGCAGACAUAGCUAAAUAUUAGCAAAGGUUCAUACUAUGCAGAGUAUCGCAGCAAAAGGUAAACAAAUUAUAUGUAUGAAGACAUAUAAUCGAGAGUAAAUUUCUUUAUUCAAACCAAAAAGACUCCACAUUAUGGCAAUACCAUAGAAAAUAGAAAUACGGUAAAAGAAAAUGUUAUUCGAAACACGUCCCCACCAGCACCAGUCCAUCAUCCCUCCUCGCUUAUCCUGCACGUUUAGAAAUACAUGCUGGGCAUGAGUACAGAAAACUCAGUGGACAUGUGCCAAAAAACAAAGAAAGCUUGCUCUUAGAGCUAUAAAUUGAACUUGCCCGCCAUAAGCAAAACACAGGGAUAUUCAUCUUAAAAGAACCUGUGCAAGCCGUUUUAAUCAUAAACAUCAUAAAUAAAUGAUUGCACAAUUAAAGUACUCAUCAUGUAUGUACCACAUCUACACUCAUCAUCAGCCCACCUGAAGGCUUUAGCUCAAGCUCGUAAAAUAGUCGAGGCGACUUACUUCCGUCCUCCGCUCGUUUCUUCAGAUAUCGUCAUCAACGUAGAAGGUUCAUGAGAUAAAAUAAACAUCAGUUAGAAACUUACUUACUAAAGACUCCAUUCUUAUCUUAGUGCUAUCCCAUCACUCAUCUUUGAUUCACUCCAACUAUCUUAAUCUCCUAAGUAUAUACUACUUAAGAAAUCGAAAAUCAUAUUCUUGACUUAACACUCAUAUAGGACUAAACUAUAUUAAUAAUCAAACAUAUAUACAUGCACACACAUAAGGCACACAAUCUCACAUUAGCACAUAGAGAAGUUAAUCAAGUUUAUUGACAUCAUAGCAAUCCUACUUAAAAACUUUUUGUAAACUUUGAAACAUAGUUUUAGUUGGGGAAAAAUUCCCAAAAAUUGAAUUUAGAAAGUUAGUAACAUAGUAUAAAACAUUCUUAAACCAGUCAUUCAAGAAAAAUUCACAUAAACAACUAAUCUCAAAUUAUAGCAUUCUUGACAAACUAAACUCGAGACUCCUUCGUCGAACAAUUCUCUAAAAUUCAAAUCAAGCUCGCAUAAUUCACAAGAACACAAAUAUAAAAUCAUAUGACUCAAGAAAAUUUCAAAGUUGGCUUCCCCUUUGACCAUCAUUUUCGGUCAACAUCCAAAGGUGUAGGGGUUGGUUUGUUUUGUCUCAAAACGCAUAUACAAGCUCAAAUAAUCAUCACAUAGUCAUAUAUGUUCACAUCUAACUCAUAACUCAUCACAUGUGCGAGACUCUUCUUAUGCACGCAAACUAUACUCGAGGGCUUUCACAUUUCAACAAUAUUUCACAAACUAAUCAUGCUAUAAUUCUUUAUAAAGUCCAAUUAGAGCAUAGACAUCAUUAAUCCAAACGUUGACCUCAUAAAUCAUAAAUACCCAAAUCCUAGUAAACUAAACUCAAGCAAUUUCACACAUAAUCAACAAUUAAUCAAAUUGACCAUUAAUAAUCAUUCCUAGCAUGCUUAAUAACAUUUAUUCAUAGCCAAAUUUGAAAACCAACAAAUAGAUUAAAAAGCCCAAAUUUUUAUUAAACUAAACUUUUGGAAAAUUCACAAACAUGCAUAAAUCUUUAAUCAAACCUUAGAUAUAUCAAAUUGAGCUAUUCAAUCAUAUGAAUAAACCAUCAAUUAGCAUAUCAAGGCAUAGACACACAUAUAUCUAAUUCUCAUUAAACUAACUUACAUCCUCACUCAUCAAUCCAUCACAAUCAUCAAUUCAAUCCUUCAAACAUCAAGCUCAUAUGAACACUCAAUUCAUCAUUCAAUCCACAAACUCAAAAAUUCCCAAUUUUAGGCAAACUAACUUAAGUAAAAUUUCAUAACUCUUCUCAAAGCUUUGCAACACACAUAGGAAUCAUCUUAAUACACUUCAAAUAGCAUAAAUCUCACUCCAAUUUAAGAAAAGAAAGAGAAAAUUUUUUGGGGGGCUAGGGCCCCAAAUUUUCGAGAAUUAUAGAAAAGGGGAGGGGGUGUUUUCCUUGUUUUAAUCAUGCAUAUACACAGAUAUAUCACACCAUGGAGUCUAGAUCCAAGAAAUUAGAACACUUACUCAAAGAUUUAGAGAGAGAAAAAGAAAAUCCUUCACUCUUAACUCUAGCUUGGAAAAUCUUUCAAAUAACUCUUAAAUUCAAGGAUAUAGAGGUGUAGGGUUGAUUUCUAUGGAUGAUUUUUGUGUAGAGAUGAAAUAUGAAGCUUUGAAAGUCUCAUCAAUGGAGUUCCAUGGAAGAAAAGAGAGAGAGAUGAGAGAGGGGGAGGGGCGUGAGUUAGGGAGUGAGGGGGAGAGAAAGAAAUUUUUUUGGUUUUUGUUUGACGCACA